This is a long non-coding RNA of Rhipicephalus microplus (southern cattle tick), 1511 nucleotides long. Lineage: Eukaryota; Metazoa; Arthropoda; Arachnida; Ixodida; Ixodidae. The record is from RefSeq and is a predicted model, not a curated record.
UGCAAGCGUGAUCGAGUGCGGGCUCGACGCAAAUUUAACUCCCAAGAAGUGUCGAGCAUGAAUGAUGUCAGCCUCACCCGGAGACUACACCGCAGCGCUGUGCCAGAAAGACUACGAGCGGUACGAAGAAGAGACGAGAGUUUGCUCCGAGUGGACCCAUUCACGCUUUCGUGCGGCCACAAGGUGACGUGCACUUGUGGCCACGCGUCGGCAGCUCCCAUAUUCGUGAAUUUCUCGUUCCGAGGACGAGUUUGAUUACCCAAGAGCUGUUGAAGUCUUCCGAGGACGAGUUUGAAAUCCCGGGAGCAGAUAAAGUCCAGAAAAAGGCCCUCGUGGAUCACAACUUUUUGAAGAGUGGCUGGUUGUGGGAGCCGUGAAUGAAGAAAUUCGCCGCCGACACCGUGGUCAUCGUCACUCAAUGUGUUCACAAGGCCCCCGUCGACGUCUUGUUCAUGGCCAAGAGUGAUGGAGAGAUCCUUGCCGCGCACUGCACAUGCAUGGCCGGCAACAGCGAAGCCUGCCACUGCGUUGUUAUUCACCGUGGAGUACGACGCACGUGCACGAGAAGAUCGUUCUAAGUUUUUUUUUUUUUAACACGUCUUACUUGAGUGACGACGGCCACGGUGUCGGCGGCGACUUUCUUCACCCACGGCUCCCGCACUCGACCACUCUUCAAAAAGUUGUGACCCUCGAGUGCCUUUCUGGACUUCAUCAUCUGCUCCCGGGUUUUCAAACUCCUCCUCGGAACGAGAAAUUCGUGAAUAUCGGAGCUGUGGAUGCGUGGCCACAACGUUACUUACACAGUCUCCUACACGAAGCGUGAACGGAUACACUCGGAGCGAAUUUUCGUACCACUCGAGGUCUCUUCAGGCGUAGCGCUGCGGUGUAGUCUUCCAGUGAGACUCACAUCGUACUCGACACUUCCUGCAGUAAAAUUUGAGUCGCGCUCACACUCGAUCACGCUUGCAAGCAACGCCAACGCUUGGAAACACGACUGCGCUGCUGCACUCCCAGGCCACCUCUGACAAAAAAAAAAAAAAAAAGGCUGCCUACCCAGUGUGCAUAGCGUCACCACCGUUCAUGCAAGCUCCCUAUACUCCUGUCACACUUGGCAACUUUGUGCGAGUGUACUUAUGCUCACAGAGUGUCAUUUUCAUGGUUUGCUGCUACACGAGAAAACCAAGUGUACUUUAGAAAUAACAGUGGCAAUUGACGGGUUUGUAGUGCAACAUAUAUUGUUUUUUUUUGCGCGUGUGUCUCAUUGUCGGUUGCACGUUGUCUUCGUGGAAGUAGCACCAGUGGCACACACCAUCGCAAAUGACAACAGAACGACUCAUCUACACAUGUGCAAGUGUGCCUGGAAGUAAACAGUGUGACGGACGCAGCCAUUUGCACAGCAUGUGCUGCCGCAUCCCCCCAAGCGAAUGUGGCCGCUAACUGUCCGAGGGUCGGAGUGCUAAGGUUUUUGUAGUAUUAUGACCUGUUUUAAUAAACAGCAGUAUUCCUCAAAA